Molecule: long non-coding RNA, 3625 nt
Filed under: Volvox carteri
Lineage: Eukaryota; Viridiplantae; Chlorophyta; Chlorophyceae; Chlamydomonadales; Volvocaceae
Description: long non-coding RNA (VCAR_LNC001734)
Source: RNAcentral
ACGACUAGCUUUGGAUCAUGCGGGCGCUGCUGCCAGCACCUCUUCCGGUGGGUUGGAGCCCAGACUGAAAAACCUUAUAAAUGGGAUACCGGUCUGUACCGUGUCGUACCGCAUCACAACAAGUUGUGCCCUAUGUGUCCGUCUGUUUUGGUGCCUCGCGGCCGUGGACACUCUACAGUCAUGUUUGGCUGGCGGCUGGUAGAAAUAACAGCAGCAUCAGCAGCAACAGAUGUAUCAGCGCAGUGUAGCAAAGCCUCUAGGAAUGCAGCGACAAAACAAAAUCAGUGCUGCCGGCUGUCAGCCUGACGUGACUGUUCUGUUGCGCGUGGUGCCUUGUGUGCUGGGACUGAUGCAAUUGGUGUAGCGCGGGAUUGGUACUUGGAUCUUGUUGUGACGAAUGCAUUCACAUGCGUGCUUCAUAGAAGCUGAACCUAUCUGCAUUAUUAAGCACGGCUUUCUUUCUCUCAUACCGUGCCCUAACAACCUGUACUGCCCCCCUUCCACCACCAUCUUGUUGGUCGUUGAUGUGGACUGGCGAGGUCGCUGCCGUGCCAAGCAUUAUCACGGAAGCCAUCGUUGCAGCUAUCAAGGACACAUCCAUGUGAGUAUACGACUACGGGGUUUGGUCGGGGGAAGAUCGGCCUGGCAGCUAGGCGGUGAGUAUAGUCGGGAGAUGAUGGAUGGCUUGUGAUGGCUGGGUCGAUGGCUCGGUGCCUCUGCGGCUCGGCGCAUUUUUAAGGCUACUACCACGCGUGCACGGCGUCAGUUUCAAGUUUAUCAGGCGCACACGACGUCGGCUUUGAGGCUUCAUGUUGUUGUAGCGCGUUAGAGCGUUACAGAGCUCAUCGCAAAGCGAUUAAGGCACGACUUGAUAAAGACUGAUCUACGAACCGUCUACGAAUAUCUGGGGAGUUUAUAAGUGUUUCCUAAUUAGGAACGACACGCACUUGAGAUUCCUACAGACACAUCGGUUUGAGCAACCGAUGUAGAUCUGAAGAGACAUCGUACAAUAGAAGUUGUCGCGGCCUCCUAGGAAACGAGUAUUGAUGCUCGGAGGAAGCCUGGGAUGGAUAUCUUUCGAUAUACCAGUAAGCGAGAUUCUAGAGGCAUAAGUUUCUAAUGCCCCUUACUCAGAACAGAGCCCAGACCUUGACGGAGCGAAUCCGUCCUGUAACCUGUCGGCUCUCGCCGCUAUUACGUGCUAACACUGCAAGGCGUAGACGGCUUCGGUUUCGACGCACGCAUACGAGUAUAUGAUUACGGGAUAUGGUCGUGUAGUAGCUGGUACACAGUACGGCUCUACAAAUACGCGCGUAGCGCGACCACCAGCAUCUCGAGAGGCCUUUUCAGCGGCCAGCUACUACAGGUCGGGAGAAAUUCGGUUGCCCGGCUAGGCGGUGAGUAGUCUCGGGGGAAGGGGGGUGGCUCGGGGGUUGGGUUGAUGGCUCGGCGGCUCGGCGGCUCGGCACGUUGGCGGCUUGGCGGUUUGGCAGCUUGGCGGCUCGGCGGCUUGAUGGCUCGGUGGUCUGGCUGCUUGGAAGUGUUGUCCUCGGCUGCAAGGGUGGGCAUUAAAUGGGUUGGAGAAGAGGAUGGUAUCAAAUGGUAUCAUUCGUACACAACACAUCAGUAUCUCUACAUCUUCAUGUAGCCAUAUGCAUCCAGGCAUUCGAGGCCCGCAGGCGCAUGCUGCGUCGGCUUCGAGGCCACGAGGCGCGCACGACGUCGGUUUCGAGGCCACCAUCGUCACCCAUGUAUGGACGUUGCCAUGCAUGUGAAUGGGCUGCAUGUGGAUAUACGUGAUAGACAUAUGGGGUUACCUGUCUUGCCUAUAGAGGUGAGUUAAGAGGGGGGCCGGGAAGAGGAGCUGGACCACCAAUAAGGGCGUGAAAAGGGAGAGUCCUUGGUGCAGGGCGUGAGACGGGAGAGCCCCAACACUUGCGUACUAACACCCGAGGGUGAUCAGCCCGACGGCUAGGAGAGCGUGAGAGGUGCGUACUCCUCGUAGGGCAUGGGACGCUCCCGGUCCACCCCACGGGGGCUUCAGUGGGUUCAAAUCCCGCAUUGAUCGAGGUAUGUGAGUUCGUACUGCCUCUGCCAUGCUGCCUGGGUCGAAGCUUCUUCCUUGCUGACUUCACACAAUCGCCCUGCGCAAACGUCUUGACCUUCUGGACUAAUUGGGCUAUCUGGAUCCCUAAGCUUGCUAACCUGGGCGGUUAUCAUCAGGAAUUCGAGGUAGGAAAAUAACGACACUCGGGUGUACUGCUGUCGCGUCAUUGUAUGGCCUUGGCGUUUAGGUGCGGCUUAACAACCGUCACAGGUGACGUUGCGUGUGAUGCGUUGCAUCACACGUUUACGAUUAUGCAUAUCGCAUUUCACAUUUACCUUCAACCUGUUCUGUGUAUGUGUCUACGUUGCAGGAUCGUGGAAGUGCAUACCCCGUACCUGUAAAAACCGCCUAAUACGCAUCGAGGGCAGAAGAGCUCCCUUCCUAAUCGCCUGUACGCACCAUCCCACCACUCCAGACACAGCAAGUGAUAAAGCUAACGACCAAAGGGAACGGUAGAGUUGCGACGGGACCACAUACGUUCCAGCAUCUUCGCCAGACGUUCAGGAUUCCACUUCAUAUAACGCCCUUCAUAUGCGCGAAGCGUGGGAAAUCCGUUUCAGACCUUCCAGCGGAUCAGUCCAGCGGAUCAGUCCAGCGAGAGGUGCUCCUCAGGAACUUUUUGCUGGUGAAGGCGAUUGGUUCUCCGUUCUUCAGUAGGGCUGCACCCGUACCGUGCAAGGACGCGUGAAACAGAGGUCACUUAGAACGUGAAAGGUCAUGUCCGGGUACCGGGUUAGCAGUACAUCGUCGGCCAACGCGUUUUUCACCAUCUCAAAUGCCUGUACCCGUUUAGGUGUCCAGUCUUCCGUCCGGAACGUGAUCAUGUAACAUAUCUCUGUGGGGAGCCGAAAGUGUGAAGCGUACGCUUUAACGAGGUUUCGGAAACAGCUCGUAAGCCCCAAGAACUGCCGUAACUCGGAUGUAUUCUUUGGCAACGGCCACUCACGGACAGUCUUCGCCUUCUUAGGAUCCAUGCGAACUCCGUCGGCACUAACGAUGUGACCGAGGUACUCAAUCUGAGUUUGCGCCCAGUGGCACUUUGACGACUUGGCAUGUAACCGUGUUCCCGUUUUAGCACUUCGAACAGGGUUUCAAGGUGUUUUAAGUGCUCUUCACGACUUCGGGAGUACACCAGGAUUUCAUCCAGGUAAACCACGACAAGCCUGCCGAGAAGGGGCUGGAAUAUUCGGUUCAUCACCACUUGGAACGUGGCUGGGGCAUUUGUUAGCCCGAACGGCAGGACAACGUACUCAUAGUCUCCUAGAGGUGUGCGAAACGCAGCGUGUCAAAACACAUCCUCAUCCCGAAUCUUAAUUUGGUGGUAUCCCUGUUGUAAGUCUCGAUGGAGGAGUAGGUGAUCAAGCUAUCCACCAAGUCAUCUACCCGCGGCAACGGAUAUCGGUUUUUAACCGUUUGUGUAUUCAGCCCUCGACAAUCCACCACCACCACCAUGCGUAACGUUCAAUCCUUCUUUCCCACGAAGAGGAUCGGAGCUGCCCCCGGGGAUGCACUAGGGCG